This 469-nucleotide ribosomal RNA is filed under the name uncultured bacterium. RNAcentral's name for it is "partial 16S ribosomal RNA". It matches the Rfam family "Bacterial small subunit ribosomal RNA", at positions 28 to 507 of the family's 1533-position model. The record is from RNAcentral.
GACGAACGCUGGCGGCGUGCUUAACACAUGCAAGUCGAACGGAAAGGCCCUGCUUGCAGGGUGCUCGAGUGGCGAACGGGUGAGUAACACGUGGGUGAUCUGCCCCUUACUUUGGGAUAAGCCUGGGAAACUGGGUCUAUUACUGGAUAGGACCAUGCUGUAGGUGGUGUGGUGGAAAGAUUAGUUUCGGUAAGGGUUGAGCUCGCGGCCUAUCAGCUUGUUGGUGGGGUAAUGGCCUACCAAGGCGUCGACGGGUAGCCGGCCUGAGAGGGUGGACGGCCACAUUGGGACUGAGAUACGGCCCAGACUCCUACGGGAGGCAGCAGUGGGGAAGAUUGCACAAUGGGCGCAAGCCGGAUGCAGCGACGCCGCGUGGGGGAUGACGGCCUUCGGGUUGUAAACUCCUUUCAGCCAUGACGAAGCCCUUGUGGUGACGGUAGUGGUAGAAGAAGCACCGGCUAACUACGUG